Molecule: ribosomal RNA, 834 nt
Filed under: Mannheimia haemolytica PHL213
Lineage: Bacteria; Pseudomonadati; Pseudomonadota; Gammaproteobacteria; Pasteurellales; Pasteurellaceae
Description: 16S ribosomal RNA
Rfam family: Bacterial small subunit ribosomal RNA
Source: RNAcentral
AAUUGAAGAGUUUGAUCAUGGCUCAGAUUGAACGCUGGCGGCAGGCUUAACACAUGCAAGUCGAACGGUAGCACAUAGGAGUUUGCUCCUUGGGUGACGAGUGGCGGACGGGUGAGUAAUGCUUGGGAAUCUGGCUUAUGGAGGGGGAUAACUACUGGAAACGGUAGCUAAUACCGCGUAAUGUCUUAGGACUAAAGGGUGGGACCAUUUGGCCACCUGCCAUAAGAUGAGCCCAAGUGGGAUUAGGUAGUUGGUGAGGUAAAGGCUCACCAAGCCCGCGAUCUCUAGCUGGUCUGAGAGGAUGACCAGCCACACUGGAACUGAGACACGGUCCAGACUCCUACGGGAGGCAGCAGUGGGGAAUAUUGCACAAUGGGGGGAACCCUGAUGCAGCCAUGCCGCGUGAAUGAAGAAGGCCUUCGGGUUGUAAAGUUCUUUCGGUGACGAGGAAGGCGAUUGUUUUAAUAGAACAGUCGAUUGACGUUAAUCACAGAAGAAGCACCGGCUAACUCCGUGCCAGCAGCCGCGGUAAUACGGGGGGUGCGAGCGUUAAUCGGAAUAACUGGGCGUAAAGGGCACGCAGGCGGUUGUUUAAGUGAGGUGUGAAAGCCCCGGGCUUAACCUGGGAAUUGCAUUUCAGACUGGACAACUAGAGUACUUUAGGGAGGGGUAGAAUUCCACGUGUAGCGGUGAAAUGCGUAGAGAUGUGGAGGAAUACCGAAGGCGAAGGCAGCCCCUUGGGAAUGUACUGACGCUCAUGUGCGAAAGCGUGGGGAGCAAACAGGAUUAGAUACCCUGGUAGUCCACGCCGUAAACGCUGUCGAUUUGGGGAUU